This is a long non-coding RNA of Loxodonta africana (African savanna elephant), 4199 nucleotides long. RefSeq lists it as uncharacterized. The transcript is spliced from 3 exons. The record is from RefSeq and is a predicted model, not a curated record. NCBI's taxonomy places the organism in Eukaryota, Metazoa, Chordata, Mammalia, Proboscidea, Elephantidae.
UUGGGGGAGCUUCAGGGGUUUGCUUGGGGUCGGGGACAAUGAGCUGAGUAGAAAGGAGCCCCUUGGUGACAUCUGGGAAGGGGUGUCUUAGACAACUGUCCACCCUCCUGCUGCCUGGAGGAGUCACUGCCCAGCCCUCACAUGCAUGGCCGCUCCGCCCUGAGGAAGCUCUGCAAACUUGGGAGAGGCGCUCCACUAGAGGAAGUGGGUUUUCUUUAGCUGAUUUUCAGGAACUCGCCAGGCCUUUCUUCCUAGUCCGUCCUAGUCUGGAAGUCCACUGAAACCUGUUCGGCAUCAUAGCAACAGGCAAGCCUCAGCCGACAAAUGGGUGGUGGCUGCACCUGAGGCGUGUCAGCUGGGAAUCAAGCCCGGGUCUCCUACAUGGAAGGCGAGAAUUCUAGAGGAGCCAACACAGCCUCACGUGUUAUCUCCCAAAGGGUGAAGAACACAGCUGGGACAGGGAGACAGUGCCGAGAAGUGACACCAAACAUUGGAUGCCCUACACACCUCCACCUCCUUUUCCCACACUACAAGUGAUUCUCCUGCUUGUCUUGAUGGGCGAGAAAGAAGGUUCCGGAUGACAGUCCCCCGGGGAACUGGAGGUCAAGGAAAAUGAGCAAACCGCUACCCAAAGACAGACCCCAUCGUGGAUCCUCUCAUUUAAUCUCCACUAAUUUUUUUUUUAAACCGUAAGAGUAAGUGAGAGAGAAACCGAGGUAUAGGGUGGCGGGGGAGUGGAGUCAGGGACCAUCAGCCCUACAGAGGGAGGCAGGGUUACAGCCGGGUCUCCUGGGCACUUGAUCUUGAGGGGAAGAGGGGUAAACAGCCAGGCCUGACCCACCUCCUCAUAGAGUUAAAAAGAAAUCCAGAAACAACCCAGGGGUGACCCCAUUGGCCAGAAUGCUGCCCAGCAGGGGCUUGUCCUCCCAGGCCUCAGGGGCCACAUGCUUCUGAGCCGCCCCCACUCUCUGUCUUUCCUGGAUGCUCAUGCUGAGAUGAACACCUGACUCAAAGGUAGCCAGCCACAGGUGGACCCCCAGGCUGACUAGUGAGACCUGGCUCAAAUGGGUGAGCUGGGCCAUUGAAGGAUCCCUGGUGGCGCAGUGGUUAAGCGAUCGGCUGCUAAUCAAAACUCAGCAGUUUGAAUCCACCAGGUGCUCCUUGGAAACACUAUGGGGCAGUUCUACUCUGCCCUAUACAGUCAACGACGGGUUUGGUUUUUGGUUUGGGGCCAGCCCAGGAAUGUGGAACCAGGAACCUGUUUGGUAGAGGGCCCUGAAGCUUGGAGGUCAAGCAGACUUGGGGGAUGGGUAAGAUACUGGGGGGCCACAUGCAAUGUGAGAGAUGAAAGAAGAGCAGAGUGCACUAGCAGGGGCCCCUGAGAAAGGAAGGCAGGGAGAGGAUAGCCAGCACCCACGCUACUUCAAUUCCUGCCCUUCCCAAUGCCUCAGCAGCCCACAGGCUGGCUGUCCCUGCGGCAGGGCUUCCAAGAACUGACUCGUCAGGCUGUUGUUUAUUUAUUUUAAUCUCACACAGAAUUGCACUUAUUAGAAAAGAAUUUAAUGUCUCAUUUUUUUCCUCGAACCAUUGUGAGUGGGUUUCCUACCUUAAUACCAGAAGACCCCUAAGACAAGCCAUGAGCCCCCGUAGUCGGCUGAACGAUGCUCCCAGGGACACCAGUCUUAAUCCCCGGAACCUGUGAAUGUGAACUUAUUUAGAAAAAGGGUCUUUGCAGACGUGUGUAAGGAUCUUGAGACGGGGAGAUAAUCCCAGGUCACCCAACUGGGCCCUAAGUGUAAUCACGAGAGUCCUCAUAAGAGGGAGGCAGCAGGAGCUGUGAACACAGUGCAAUAUGGCAACGUGAUGAUAGAGUCAGAGAUGGGGACGAUGAGGCCACAAGCCAAGGAACACCAGCAGCUUUUAGAAGCUGGAAGAGACAAGGAACAGAUUCUCCCAGGAGCCUCCAGAAGCAGCCUGCCCUGCCAAUACCUUGACUUUAGCCCAGUGAGCCAGAUUUUUGGACUUCUGACAUCCAGGACUGUAGAAGAAUAAAUCGGUGUUGUCUUAAGCCACUAAAUUUGUGGUAACUUGUUACAGAGGCAAUAUGAAACCAACAUAGCCUCUCAAUCCUCACCACGACCUGGAAUAACUUCGUUUUGCAGAUGAAGAAACACGGGGUCAGAGCUGGGAAGGGAACCUACUCAAGGCUGCGUAGUUCAAGCCAGGGUGGGGAUAUGGUGCCCAGCCCCCAGCCUGGGGUAAGUCAGACUGUCCAAGGCUGUAAUCCUUGGGGUUCUCUGAGCUUGACCAGUAAACUGUGCUUGGAGUUGGCUCUGACUCAUGACUCGUGUCAGAGUGCAACUGUGCUCCAUAGGGUUUUUGAGGGCUCAUAUUUUAAAAGCAGAAUGCCAGGACUUUCUUCCAAGGCACCACUGGGCGGACUCGAACCUUCAACCUUUCUGUUGACAGCUGAGUGCAUUAGCCAUUUGCAUUACCCGGGGAUUCCUGCCCAUAAAGACUCAUCCCAAAGCUGAGGAAGUGCCCCCCAUCCCUUGCUGGGCCACCAGGCCAACAGGUAGUGGUUGACAAGGGGUCCUGUGGCACCCUUGAUGAGGAUGCCCAUAAGCCAUUUGCCCAGCUGCCUGUGAGUGGUGCCUACUGUCCUUCCUAGUGACCCUCCAACAGAAGGGUGGCCAAGGUAGGCAAUGGCAUUGGCCAGCCCUUCUGUCCUGCACAGGGGUCCUGACUCUGGAAGCCACAAAUGCAGUCAGGUCCCUGGACUCCAACAGAGCCCACUGGGAGAACGGGGCUGUCUCUGAGACUGUCACCCGCCCCCCAGCAAAGCAGGGGCACCCACAUGCUUCCUGAGAACACUGCUAGCACACAGUAGCAUCAGCAGAAACCAGGGGAUGUGGUUUCCACGGGGCCUUCUCACACACACACACACACACACACACACGCACGCACGCGCGCACGCGCCUGAAUGCACAUACCACCCCUUCACCCGCAGUCCCCCAGCUUGCACUGUCCUCCCGCCAGGCCCCGGCGAGGCUCUGCGGAUCAAGAGCAGAAAGCUCAGCCUCCUGCCAGCUCCUUUCCAGCUCACCCGGGGCAACACCCCACACGGGACAGAGCAGAUGCUUACAGUCAGAUGCCAAGUAAAAUAUCGUUCCCUCAACUCUGUGGACCGGCACUGGGCUCCCCAUGCUGGAGGGGCGGGGGGCUGGUCAGGUUAAAACUGCGGUGAUGUGGGUACCAGGGACACACAGAUACACCCGGCACCAGGCCUUCACACCAGCAUACCCUAGAAAAGGCACCAGGAGCGGCAGGGUCCUGGGAUGGGAAGGCUGGGAGGACCCCUAUGCUGCCCCAGGGCAAAGGCCAGGCCCCAGGAAUGCAAAGUCGGGGAGAGGAGAACCCUCAGCAAAGCUUCUCUGAGGCAUUGUGCUUGCUGUUUUGUUACUGGGUUGUUGUCUUUCUCUUUCUUCUGGUUCCUUCUCCCUCAGCAAAGGGAACAGUUCAGGCUGCCCCUUAAAACACAAGCAAACCCCCUUCCUUUGGUGGAGCUACUUCUUCACACUACGGACUUCUCCCUCUCUGAAUAGCCAAGCCUCUUAGAAGCUGGUCUAUACCCGGCCCUCAGCUCCCCACUGCCCACUCCCUCCUCACCCCUACCCUCUGGCUUCUGCCCACACUGCUACUAAAACUGAGCUCUUGGAAAAAAACCCUCAUCAUCAAAACCCAGUUCCACCCUAUUUGACCUCUAGGGCGGCAUUUGGCAUGCAUUAACCACCUCCUCCUUCUGGAAGCUUCUCCCCACCCCUCCUCCCAGGCCCCUCCUGGCAAUGUCUUCUCCACACCCCCCAGGGCAGGGGUUAGAUAGCACACAAGGACCUUCUUCUCCCCUUGACUUAGUCUCCUAGGACCAUCUCACUUCCACCCUCGUUUCGGCCAUCACCCCCAAACUGACAUCUCUAUCUCUGGUCGUGACUCCCCAGCUCAGCCCACAUCCCUACAGAGGGCAGGCAGGUCAAUCCACCCUCUUCACAGCCUCAGUUUGCCCUCUGCUCAAGAGCCACUCGUUUUUCUGCAGUCAGGUUUCCACUCUGGCCUUUCCCCAGCCUCACCCCUCCAGCCCACUGGCGGCCUCUCCCCAGUGUGUCUCAAAUCGAUCCCUUCCUGUCCAGCCACCUAAGGUC